RNAcentral lists this ribosomal RNA (253 nucleotides) under uncultured bacterium. RNAcentral's name for it is "partial 16S ribosomal RNA". It matches the Rfam family "Bacterial small subunit ribosomal RNA", at positions 524 to 776 of the family's 1533-position model. The record is from RNAcentral.
GACGAACCGAGCGAACGUUGUUCGGAAUCACUGGGCUUAAAGGGCGCGUAGGCGGGCUGUCAAGUCUGGGGUGAAAUCCCGCGGCUUAACCGUGGAACUGCCUCAGAUACUGAUGGCCUCGAGGGAGAUAGGGGCGAGCGGAACUAAUGGUGGAGCGGUGAAAUGCGUUGAUAUCAUUAGGAACUCCGGUGGCGAAGGCGGCUCGCUGGGUCUCUUCUGACGCUGAUGCGCGAAAGCGUGGGGAGCAAACAGG